CCCUUAGACGUUCUGGGCCGCACGCGCGCUACACUGACCGGUGCAACAAGCAUCCGUCCUUGGCCGACAGGCCCGGGCAAUCUUUGAACGCCGGUCGUGAUGGGGAUAGACUUUUGCAAUUUUUGGUCUUCAACGAGGAAUUCCUAGUAAACGCAAGUCAUCAACUUGCAUUGAUUACGUCCCUGCCCUUUGUACACACCGCCUGUCGCACCUACCGAUUGAAUGGUCCGGUGAAGCCUCCGGAUUGGCGCGCACCUCGGUGCCGCCGAGAAGUUGGCUAAACCUUACCAUUUAGAGGAAGGUGAAGUCGUAACA
RNAcentral lists this ribosomal RNA (315 nucleotides) under uncultured eukaryote. RNAcentral's name for it is "partial 18S ribosomal RNA". It matches the Rfam family "Eukaryotic small subunit ribosomal RNA", at positions 1470 to 1796 of the family's 1831-position model. The record is from RNAcentral.